Manis pentadactyla (Chinese pangolin) is the source of this 394-nucleotide long non-coding RNA. RefSeq lists it as uncharacterized. The record is from RefSeq and is a predicted model, not a curated record. NCBI's taxonomy places the organism in Eukaryota, Metazoa, Chordata, Mammalia, Pholidota, Manidae. The transcript has 3 exons.
GUUCCCGCUGCCGCCGCGCUCCGCGCCGUCUGCCCCCUCCCCAUUCAGGCUGAACACGCGGCAAAAAAAUCACUGCCCCUCUUGUGAGCUGUCUCACCUCUCUGUGUAACUGAAAGGCUAACGCAAGUGCCUUUUCUGGCAUUCGGGACAAUAGCAAUGAAAAGACAAGCCAGGUUCCUGCUCUCAGAAAAGUUCAACUGAGAAGACAAAAACAAGUGGAAUAUAUAUACGUAUAUAUAUGUGUGUGUGUGUAUAUAUAUAAAUAAUUGAUCCUUGAACAGUGCAGGGUGUAGAUGCUCUGACCUACCUACACAGUUGGAAAUCUGCAUGUAAAUUUCAACUUCCUAAAAACAAAACUGCUGACAGUCUACUGUUGAUCAGAAGCUUUACCAGU